ACAGCAGCAGCCGCGGGAAUACGUAGGGUGCGAGCGUUAAUCGGAAUUACUGGGCGUAAAGCGUGCGCAGGCGGUUGUGUAAGACAGGUGUGAAAUCCCCGGGCUUAACCUGGGAACUGCGCUUGUGACUGCACAGCUAGAGUAUGGCAGAGGGGGGCGGAAUUCCACGUGUAGCAGUGAAAUGCGUAGAGAUGUGGAGGAACACCGAUGGCGAAGGCAGCCCCCUGGGCCAAUACUGACGCUCAUGCACGAAAGCGUGGGGAGCAAACAGGAUUAGAGACCCCUGUAGUCCCUGUCUCUUAUAC
Molecule: ribosomal RNA, 305 nt
Filed under: uncultured bacterium
Lineage: Bacteria
Description: partial 16S ribosomal RNA
Rfam family: Bacterial small subunit ribosomal RNA
Source: RNAcentral